RNAcentral lists this unclassified non-coding RNA (90 nucleotides) under Pseudomonas kilonensis. Lineage: Bacteria; Pseudomonadati; Pseudomonadota; Gammaproteobacteria; Pseudomonadales; Pseudomonadaceae. The record is from RNAcentral.
UGUGGGAGCGAGCUUGCUCGCGAUAGCAGUAUGUCAUUCCAUGACGGUGUUGACUGGAUUGACGCCAUCGCGAGCAAGCUCGCUCCCACA